CCUACGGGGCGCUGCAGUGGGGAAUAUUGCACAAUGGGGGAAACCCUGAUGCAGCAACGCCGCGUGAAGGAAGACGGUUUUCGGAUUGUAAACCUCCGUUUUUAGGGAAGAAUAAGGAAGGUAGCUAAGGAGCAAGCCACGGCUAACUACGUGCCAGCAGCCGCGGUAAUACGUAGGUGGCAAGCGUUGUCCGGAAUUACUGGGUGUAAAGGGAGCGCAGGCGGGAUGCCAAGUCAGCUGUGAAAACUACGGGCUUAACUUGUAGACUGCAGUUGAAACUGGUUGUCUUGAGUGAAGUAGAGGUUGGCGGAAUGCCAGGUGUAGCGGUGAAAUGCGUAGAUAUUCGGAAGAACACCGGUGGCGAAGGCGGCCAACUGGGCUUUAACUGACGCUGAGGCUCGAAAGUGUGGGGAGCAAACAGGAUUAGAUACCCCUGUAGUC
This 441-nucleotide ribosomal RNA is filed under the name uncultured bacterium. RNAcentral describes it as "partial 16S ribosomal RNA". It matches the Rfam family "Bacterial small subunit ribosomal RNA", at positions 338 to 795 of the family's 1533-position model. The record is from RNAcentral.